This 64-nucleotide transfer RNA is filed under the name Bathymodiolus japonicus. RNAcentral's name for it is "tRNA-Lys". Lineage: Eukaryota; Metazoa; Mollusca; Bivalvia; Mytilida; Modiolidae. The record is from RNAcentral.
UAAAUUAAAGCUUUGUUGAAGCGUUGAGCUUUUAACUCAAAGAAACCCUUUUUGGUUAAUUUAA